This is an RNA transcript of Cercocebus atys (sooty mangabey), 5264 nucleotides long. It is a transcript of the gene named glomulin, FKBP associated protein, with no coding region annotated. The record is from RefSeq and is a predicted model, not a curated record. Lineage: Eukaryota; Metazoa; Chordata; Mammalia; Primates; Cercopithecidae. The transcript is spliced from 20 exons.
GCGCGAGGCGGACCCCGCUGGCGUGGGGCGGGGCCAGAAGAGCGGGCUAAGUGGCCGGAGGAGGUGGCGGCGUCUGGGAGAGGCGAGAGAUCUGGCCGAUUUUAGCGUCGAAACUGGGAGAAAUAGGAAUGGCUGUAGAGGAACUUCAGUCUAUAAUAAAGAGAUGUCAAAUCCUAGAAGAGCAAGACUUUAAAGAAGAGGAUUUUGGCCUAUUUCAGUUAGCUGGGCAAAGAUGCAUAGAAGAAGGGCACAUAGACCAGCUAUUAGAAAUUAUUCAAAAUGAAAAGAAUAAGGUCAUCAUCAAGAAUAUGGGCUGGAAUCUCAUUGGUCCUGUUGUUCGAUGCCUUUUGUGUAAAGAUAAAGAGGAUGCUAAAAGAAAAGUUUGCUUUUUGAUCUUUGAUUUAUUAGUAAAGUUAUGCAAUCCAAAGGAAUUAUUGUUGGGUUUGCUUGAACUGAUUGAAGAGCCCUCUGGAAAACAGAUAUCCCAAAGUAUUCUUCUUUUGCUUCAGCCAUUACAAACAGUGAUUCAGAAACUUCAUAACAAGGCAUAUUCAAUUGGAUUAGCAUUGUCUACCCUUUGGAAUCAGCUAUCUCUUCUUCCUGUUCCAUACUCAAAAGAACAAAUACAAAUGGAUGACUAUGGCCUUUGUCAGUGUUGCAAGGCCUUAAUAGAGUUCACUAAGCCUUUUGUGGAAGAAGUCAUUGAUAACAAAGAAAACUCACUGGAAAAUGAAAAGUUGAAGGAUGAAUUACUGAAAUUUUGUUUCAAAAGCUUGAAAUGCCCUUUGCUGACAGCACAAUUCCUUGAACAGUCUGAAGAAGGUGGAAAUGAUCCUUUCAGGUAUUUUGCAUCAGAAAUAAUAGGUUUUUUAUCAGCAAUUGGACACCCUUUCCCCAAAAUGAUUUUUAAUCAUGGAAGGAAAAAGAGAACUUGGAAUUACCUUGAAUUUGAAGAAGAAGAAGAUAAACAGUUAGCAGACUCAAUGGCUUCUCUGGCAUAUCUAGUAUUUGUACAGGGCAUCCGUAUUGAUCAGCUUCCAAUGGUCUUAAGCCCAUUGUACCUUUUGCAGUUUAAUAUGGGGCAUAUUGAAGUCUUUUUGCAAAGAACAGAAGAGUCUGUUAUCUCCAAAGGAUUGGAGCUGCUGGAGAAUAGUUUAUUGAGAAUAGAAGACAGUAGUCUACUUUACCAGUACUUAGAAAUCAAGAGUUUUCUUACAGUACCUCAGGGCUUAGUGAAAGUAAUGACACUUUGCCCCAUUGAGACACUGAGGAAAAAGAGUUUAGCUAUGCUUCAGCUGUAUAUUAACAAGUUGGAUUCACAAGGCAAAUAUACAUUAUUUAGGUGCUUAUUGAAUACAAGUAAUCACUCUGGUGUGGAGGCUUUUAUUAUUCAAAAUAUCAAAAAUCAAAUUGACAUGUCAUUAAAGAGAACACAUAACAACAAAUGGUUUACAGGACCACAGUUGGUUUCCCUUCUUGAUUUGGUACUUUUUCUUCCAGAGGGUGCGGAAACAGAUUUACUGCAAAACUCAGAUAGGAUUAUGGCUUCAUUAAAUUUAUUGAGGUAUUUGGUUAUCAAAGAUAAUGAAAAUGACAAUCAAGUAAGUGGAGUAUUUGAAAAGAAACUAAUGAAAGCUGGGACAAGAGAAACAAUGAGAUGGCAAAGUCCACAGGAAGAAAUUAUUCUGUUUUAUUCCUUUUUAGGAAGUCUUAAACUCAAGUAAUGUGAGUCUGCCAACUUUGUUCUUCUUUUUCAAAAUUGUAUUGGCUAUUUUUAAAUCCUUUACCUUUUCUGUAUAAAUUUUAGAAUUUUGUCAAUUUCUGCCACGAAGGGUUUUAAUUCCACUUAUGGCAUUCUGGAAAAGGCAAAAAUUACAUUAACAAAAAUCAGAUUGCUGGUUGCUGGAGGUGGGAGGAAACUGACUACAAAGGGGCACAAAAAUUUCUGGGUCAUGGGAAUGUCUUUACAGCAGCAGUGGUUACUUGACUUUAUAUCACUAUAUAUCUUUGUCAAAGCUCAGAACUGUAUAGCUAGAAGGUUAUAUUUUACUGUAUAUAAUCAAUACCACAACAGACCUGACUUUGAAAAAUAAAAAGAACCAGGCUCAAUAGUGAAUUAGACUGAAAUUACAUCAUGAGCAGUCAGGCACACUCAUUUAUUAUGUAAAAAUCUUUCUGAUGUUUAUUUUUGAAUCGCUUAUUCUCCAUUUUUCUACAUUAAAGUAUUAAGAUUAAAUGUGUUAUGUGGAAAGGAUUUGAGGGAAAACUUUUAUUUCAGCUAUAGAAAUAAAUGUGUGUUGAGUUGUGAUGUAAAACCUAUUUUUUACUGAGAGUCAUGGCAAAAAUAAUUUGAAAAACAGUAUCCUAGAAACACUUUUACCCUGUGUGAAUAGGAAAACAUACAGCAAUGUAAAUGCUGCAUUAUUUUGAAAUACUAAAAACUUAGUAACCGGAUAAAUUCCAUAUAAUGGAAUGUGUAUGCGGCAAUUAAAAUGAAAUUAGAGCUACAACAUAAAUAACUCUCAAAUUUAAGAUUGACAAAAAGGAAGCUGAAGCAUGUUAUAUACAGUAUGAUAUCAUUUAUAUGCUUUUAAACAUGAAAAAUUAAGUGAUACAUUAGGAAUGCAAAACAUUCAAGUUUUAGCUAAUGGCUGCCUCUUGAAUAAAGGGGAUUCCAGCCAUAUCUAGUAUUUUAUUUUUUAAAAGUAAAUAUAAUAAAAUGUUUCCUUUUGUCAAAGCUAGGUGUUUUCUCCAUACUCUUUUAUGUUCAAAUGUGCUUUAGUGGGUAAGAGAGUCAUCAGUAACCUAGUCUUGAAAGCCAUUCGUUGCAGUGAGUUCUGCCUAUAAACCCAGAGGUGAAUGCAAAGUAAAAAGUAAAAAAAAAGUUGGGGUGCAGGGAAUGCAAAAUGGUGAAGAAAAGGCUGGACGUAAAAAGGAAUAAAAGCUUAUUUGCAGCAAUGUGGAUGGACCUACUUGUCAUUAUGUUGAAAUAUGCCAGGCCCAGAAAGACAGUAUCACAUAUUCUCACAUGUGUGAGCUGACAAACUUGAUGUCGUGGAUACAGAAUAUAGAAUGAUACCAGCGUUGUGAGCAUGGGAGGGGAAAAUGUAGAGAAGCUGGUGAAUGGGCACAAACAGAGUUAGAUAAAAGACAAGCUGUAUUGCUUGAUAGCACAUUAGAGUGACUAUAAUUAGCAACAAUAUAUUGUAUAUUUCAGUGUAGCUAGAAGAGAGGACAUGAAAUGUAUAGAAAUGAUGAAUACUCAAGAGGAUGGAUACCCCAAAUACUGACUUUAUUACUAUAUAUAUUAUGCAUGUAACAAAUACAUGUACCCAUAAAUAUGUAAAAUAUCAUGUAUCAGUAAAAGAAAAAGGAUAGAGGUAAAAAUAGGAGAAAUGAGAGCAGUCGGUGCACGUAAGAGUAAUAUGCUUGUUAUACUGUGUGACUACACUGGUUAAGGAAAUUCCUGCUGCAUAUAACCCAAAUUUGCCAUGAGAGGUUAAGAAAACUUUCCACUUAACAAUUUAAAAAAUAUACAACUAAAACAUCCAUUAUUUAAAAAUCAAGAUAAAAAAAGAAUAGUAAUCAAAAUUACACCAUUGUUGAUAUACUGUAUUCCCUUCUAGGUUUUGUGUUAAUACAUCUGUACAUUUUUUCUUUUUUAAAAAGAAAAUGAGAUCAUACUAAAAGAAUCACACUGUUUUAUAACCUUUUUUCCCAUUCACCAAUAUGUACUGAAAAACAAUAUUUUAAUGGCUGUAUAGUUUUUCCAUUAUGUUAAUGUGUCAAUUUACUAUGAAUCUCCUGUCGUGAGUUAUUUUAAUUCUAAUGUUUCACUAAACAUUUUUUAAAACAUCUGCAGUAGAAUGAUAACAUCCAUCUUUAUUUCCCCAAGAUAAGUUUGUAGAUGCUGAGUGAAAAGGUAUGCAUAUUUUUGAGGGUUUUAGAUCCUCUCUAGAAUUCUACUUUUCCUGUUAGUAUAGGAGAAAUAAGAUCACUGAAAUGAAAAGUAUAUAUGUGAGACAUUAUCAGUUAUUCAUAGACAUGUGUAGAUUUUAUUUGGAAUGCUACAAGUAACAUGUUAUAUACUACUUGGGUCAAAAUAAGCUCAUUACAAAAUAGGUUCUCAAGUAGUUCAUUAUUCUAGUUAAGGAUAAAUUGGGUCCUUAAGUUUCCCUUUUUUAUCUAAGACAUUUUCCUUUGUAAAGAGUACCUGGACACUCAGAAGUACCAAUGGAUUUUCUUUUCUCUAUUUUUUAAAAUAAAAUUAAGACUUCAUGACUCCUCUCCUUUAAGUACUGUAAGAGAAAAUGCUCUUGGAAUAAAAACCUCUAAGAUACAUGACAAAAUAAGCUGUCCUCAACAGAUAAAAUCUUCACCUACUUUGGUCACCAAGGAGGUUCAAAUUAGCUGGGUAUUAGAAAAGUUUCCAUCAGUAGGAAAGGGAAAGCAUCCUCUAGAACUAGAUCCGUGGUGAGGAUAUCAAUUGAAAGGACAUACAUGGGAUGAAGGCAUAAAUAAGGUAGAGUCAUUGUGGGGAUGGCUCAUAGAGGAAGAGAUGUCUGUGAAUUUAUCUUCAAAUAAUUUUCUCAUAAAUCUUAACAAGUUAACAGAUCUCAAACCCAGGAGCUAUCCAAGUGGUGCAGUGAUAAGCGUAGUGCCCCAAGUACAUUUUUCUUUUCAUUGGUAUUCACAUAACUAGAUACAGUAAUAAAUGUAAUUAGUAAAUAGUGAAGUCCAUUGUGAAAAGGGCCAUGUUUUUUUUUAUUUUGCGAGCUUUUAACACGUUUAAUAGUAGUAGGCAGUCAAUCACUGUUGAACUAAAUAACUCAUUCUUUUAUUCUUAACAGACUGGAUUAUGGACAGAACUUGGAAAUAUUGAGAAUAAUUUCUUAAAGCCACUUCAUAUAGGACUUAAUAUGUCAAAAGCACAUUAUGAAGCAGAAAUUAAAAAUAGCCAAGAGGCCCAGAAAUCUAAAGAUCUUUGUUCUAUAACUGUAGGUGGAGAAGAGAUCCCUAAUAUGCCUCCUGAAAUGCAGCUUAAGGUCCUACAUUCAGCUCUUUUCACAUUUGAUUUGAUUGAAAGUGUUCUAGCUCGAGUGGAAGAACUCAUUGAAAUAAAAACGAAGUCUACCUCUGAAGAAAAUAUUGGGAUAAAGUGAAAGUUCCACUUCCUUAAUAAAAUAGAGUAAAAACUCAUAAAAUAGAGUAUUAUUUUCCAUUAUGAUUUAUUUAAUACCAUUAUAAAAAUUUUUCUGUAAAAA